GCGAAGCCGCGCGGGCGGGCGAAAACGCCGGCACCGGUUUCCUAAACCGGGUGUCGGAGGUUCGAAUCCUUCCAGGCGCA
Molecule: transfer RNA, 80 nt
Filed under: Actinomycetota bacterium
Lineage: Bacteria; Bacillati; Actinomycetota
Description: tRNA-Arg
Rfam family: tRNA
About the family: Transfer RNA (tRNA) molecules are approximately 80 nucleotides in length. Their secondary structure includes four short double-helical elements and three loops (D, anti-codon, and T loops). Further hydrogen bonds mediate the characteristic L-shaped molecular structure. tRNAs have two regions of fundamental functional importance: the anti-codon, which is responsible for specific mRNA codon recognition, and the 3' end, to which the tRNAs corresponding amino acid is attached (by aminoacyl-tRNA synthetases). tRNAs cope with the degeneracy of the genetic code in two manners: having more than one tRNA (with a specific anti-codon) for a particular amino acid; and 'wobble' base-pairing, i.e. permitting non-standard base-pairing at the 3rd anti-codon position.
Source: RNAcentral